GUCUGCUAACUUAUCCAAAAGAUGGCCUCUUUCUGAGGCAUCCAUUCUCCUCCAAACAGAGCCAAGGGAAAAAGCCAGCCGAGCUGCCCUCACUGCCUUGUCCGUGUCAACCUGGGAAGAAGAAAAUUGAAGACACAAGGGCUGUGUUUACAAAGACGGGGACCUUGGAAAGCUUGAUGAGUUCCAAUCAGAGAUACACAGCAGAGGCAGUAAUGUCAGAGCAAGAAGAUAAAAGGACAACUUUGCUGCUGUACUGAGGUGUCCCUGGCAGUGCAGUGAUUUAGCCAAGAACAAACCCAAGAGGCCAAGCAGCCAAGGCUGUUGUGAGCGAGUCUGCUGUGAGUCUGGCUGCAGCUGGUGUGAGAGCAUGUUGUGAGGCACUCCUGGGAAUGACUGGAAACCAACAGCUGGCUAUGGAAUCAGCAAAAACCUGGUUUGUAAGAAGGCACUAGGAAAGCAAAAGCCAGUGCCAGCAGUCUGCUGGCUGAAUGACCAGCGAUGGAUCAGCAGUGCCAUUUCAUUUUAUUUUUAAGAGGGUUGUUCAGGUGACCAGCAAGUGUCACAGCUUCUUGCUGGCAGUUCACAAAAGGUGAGUAAUGGGCUUCAAGGCCAACCUCCCCAAGGAGGUUGCAGGAUCCUGCUUCUGAGCCAUGAAGGAUCCUGUGUGGGCAGUGCCAGGGGCUGUGCUGCUCUCAGGGGACAGCCGUGCACGAGCCAAGGCAGCCUGGCUGCCCAGCACCUCAGCACAGGUGGUUCUCAUCUUGUUCUUUACCCCCCAGCAGAAUCAUCCUCAGAAGUUACCCAGAUUUGGGGUCUUUAGUGAGAUGCCUUUCAGCUGUGGAGGAACUGCAAUUGUAUGAGAGUAACUAACAGUGAACUGUAGAGGAACAACAUUGCACCAAAUCUAAUUCGGGCAACCAAAUUCCCGUGGGCAUAGCUGGUUUUCAGCUACAAGAGGGCCAAGGGUCCAGAGUAGAACAAAAGGAAAAAAAUCCAGCUGGUUUCAGUGGGAGCUGAACCAGGCCCCAGCUGAGGAAAAGGAAUCAGUGGCAAGAGCCUCCAGAGGGAUGUUUGUACUGGGAAACAAAGCUGUUUCACUGGAAACUUGACACAUGCUCUAGAGCCUGUGAGGUCUGAAAGGCCAAACAAAACCAGAACAUGUUGAUUUUUAUUUUUCCUCUUUGGCUGCUGGGUUGUACUUCUCUCUCCUUACUCACACCCCCCACACUGUAAAAAUAGAAAAAGAAAGAAAGAAAAAAAUUGAAAAGGAAAAAGACCUCUGUUCUAAAGCUUUGUGUGCUGUGAGGUGCUUCAUCUUUUUUAAAAUCUUAUUUGGACCUCAGAGCCUGAUUGAAUAAUGCUAUAGCUUUUGGACCUGGUGUACCAUAAAUGUGGCUUUCCUUCAUAAAUUCAAGCUUGAAAUUGCACUCAAGAAAUCUAGAGGGCAAACUUGUGAGUGUACUGAGAGGGUUGGAGAAUUUAAAACCUUUACAAACACAGUACAGCAGUAGGACCAGAAAAGUGGAAUUGGAAAUAAACUGCCCAAGAAGUGAGUAGUUUCACUGUGCAGCAGUGCAGCCAGCUCUGGUACAAUUUCGUUUGUGCCAGCCCAGCCCUGUGCCAAGGCUAGGUGUCUGAUGAGAAGACCAGGGUGUUUGCCUUCUCUGGGUGCUAAUCCCAAGUAGCAAGGCCUGAGUCAACUCUACCAAAAUGAAAGCCAGUGCUUCAUACCAGUGGACUUUGGAUCAGAAGCCAAGUGUUUGAAAGAGGUGAGUACAUCAAGGUUCGGUGACAUUUCAGCAUGUGUAAAUUAAGUCAGGCUUCAGUGUGGCCAACAUGAGCUGGAGGAGGAUUCCCAGGAUGCAGCCCUAAUGGUGGCAGGAGUUUGGUCUCUUUUCAGUCCCAGAGAGGUGGAAGGAGAGGGCAAAGUAGGACCUGUCUGCAGGGGCUGCUGCCCUGUUCUGCUCACCUGGAUGUUCAGGUGCUUAAAGGCAGAUAGGGCAAGUCCCCCACUGAGCCUGCUCACAGACAAAAGAGGUUUAGGGAAUGGUAUGCUUGGAAAAGGGUGUGAUGGGAGGAGAAACUGGAGGCAUCCAGCGUCUCUGAGCAGCAAAUGGAAUCAGAGAAAGGUUUGAAGCCUCCCGUCAGUCUGCUGUGAAAGUGGAAUGUAACAUGAUUUUUUCUCCCCUAUGUCCCUCAUCCCUCACGCCAAAUGUUUGACCUGCCUGUCUUCCUGUCUUAAUUAGUCUUCUGUCUUUCUGGGAGUUGGGUCUGUUCUUCUGCAAAUGGCAGCACAUCAGACAGGGGAAACCUGUCAUGUUUGUUUUCUAAGCUGUAGGGGGUACCCAUUUGAAAAAACUCCCAGCUUAUCUAAACAUUUUUGUUUGUAUGAUUUUGAAUUAGGAAGUGUGAGUAAUUAGUUAAGAAGAUUAAAUAAGUCUUAGCAACAUGCAGUAGCAUGCUUACUUUCCUCCUCCCCCCCCAAGUAUUUCCUGCACAAAACCCAGGCUGCCAAACUGUGAUGAUACCCUUUUCUAUUUUAGUUUCUCACUGUGCCACAUGCUGGUACAGCAUCCGUUAUUUCAAUUCAGUCUCAUUAAAGGGAUUAUGUUGUGCCUGGUUGUUCAAGAAAAUUAAUCUAAAGAGAAGAAACUUCAGAUUGUAUUGUCUGUUGAACUAUACCCACCACAAACAUUUUACUCCUUUUGGCUGCCUUAUUAAACCUGUGGGAAGAAACUUUCGUUGCAGCACAUAAAAGCCUUCCUCAAAGUAAUUUUUACUUUUUUCAGUUAAUGAAGAAUUUGUCUGCUGUUAGUAGAACAAUACAGGAGCAAUAACAUAGCUCAGGUAAUAUUUCAUGUAUUCCUAAGAAACUAAGCUCCCAAGCUUUACUUAUCCUUUCAUCAGUGGGACUCUUUAAUUGCUGGAGAAGAACAUUUACUCUCUUCAGAAAACAUUGCUUGUGAAAUCAGGAUGAGUAAAAAAUUAACUGUGCUUUCCAUUUUCACUAAUUACAAAGACAAACUAUCACUGGAUGAAUUGGGUAAGGGUGGCAGUGGUUUUGAUGGAGUAUGAUCCUUGGUAUCACUUUUUGCACCUUAAAAAGUGAAAUAAUGAAAGAUUUUUUAAAAUCCACUAAAUUGAGAGUGGAGAGGAGGAGUAUUUGUUUACAUAAUCAAUUAUUGGGCUGUCACUGGGCUUUAAUGAAGUUGUGGCUAUUAAGAACUUGAUCCUGGAAACCCUUCCACAAGUGCUCAUUUGAAAUGGUGGGAAUGAGGAGGGGUUUGUACAAACAAGACUCGUAUUACUCUGUGUAGUUCUCUUGUGUUUUGCAUUGUUUGUGCAUUGCAAGUCUUGUGUUCUCCUUAUAUGUGACAGAAAACAGUUUGAGCUAUUAAUCUGUACAUGGGAAAUAUGUUCUGCCAUUUGGAAGAAUUUAAUCUCCCUUGUAAGUAACUGCCAUUUUAAAUGUUCAUCACCAGGAUCAAGUUCUUACUUAGAAAUUAGCUGUGCUGCAUAAAUAAAUAUUCCUCCUAGGAUUUCAGACAUUAUAGACAACACAGAAAAAUACAAUAAGCAAAUUUAUUUUGACUUAAAGCUCUGCCUGAGAAAAUUACCUUAUAACUACACAUGAGAAAUUGCUGGAAUGUCAGCUUCAUUUGCAGUGGCCCCUUAUGGCCUGAUCACCCUCCCUGGCACGAUAAAUCACUGGCAAGAUCCUUACCUUAACACGUUUGAUCUCAGCUCAGCAAGACUUGGUUUUGAUGUGAAGAACUCCAGAUCUGUUAGGUCAGAGACAAAUAGCAGAGCCACUGACCUGCAAAGUGCUAAGUCUAUAUUAGACCCAAGUGAGCAGCCUUAAGCUCCUGAAAAGUUUGCCUUCGCUUCUACUUUGCAUCUUGAAGCUUUUCAAAUAUUACUGUUAGCAUGUUUUGUUAAUGAUGCCAGAGACAUUUCCUUUUGUGCUGUUCUGCAGGUACAGAAGCCACAAAAAGCUUGUGGUGUGAGAAGCAUUAUCUUCAAUAAACUGUUAGAAUUAUCUGCACUUUGGAGAGACAUGAAAUAAGCCUCAUUAUUUAUUGGUUUCUUUACCUAAUUUACACAAAUGGCUUGCACUGGCCUCUUUCUUACUAGACCAUGCCUACUGAUAUCAUAAAUAAUGAUAUUCACCAGUACACCCUUUAAGAUGAUGCAAAGUGCCUGUGUGUACAUGUGUGUACAUACAGAAAUUCAAACUACUCCUAAAAACAAAAACCUCAGCUUGUGACAUUUACAUUCAAAGUCUGAACUUUCACAAAGAACAGUUUUGUGGCCACUCAGUUUUGCAGCCUUGGUUUGAAAGUAUUACUUUUUGUCCUGGUUAAACAGUCACUUAUCUCUACGAUAGUAAGCAGGAGUGUUAGUCUACCAGAAAAUUGGAUGUUCUUAAUGGGCUUUGGGGGAGAAUAGCUUUGCAUCAUCAGCAUUAAGUUAAAUCACAUUAAGUACCCACUUACAACAUAGGGAUUACCACUUAUGACAUCUUUGGUGAAAGCCUUUAAAACAAAUUGUUGUGUUUGUUAGAAGAAGCUGUGAGAUAACAAUUCCCAGAAGUCUGAUUUAUAAAUUCUUUUUGCUCUUCAAGAAGAUGCAAAAGAACCCAACACCUCUCAUUCAAUGCUGCAAUGAAAUCUCUCAGGCUGGAAAUUAUUUUCAACAAAAAGUCUUGGAAAAUACUAAUUUAUUUACUUUAGAAUAUUCUUCUGGAAAGAAGAAACUGUUAGACUACCUUUCCUCAGAGUUCAGUUCUAAUUUCUCCUCCAGUUCUUUCUGUUGAUUAAGUCAUUGCCUUUUACAUGUACAAAACUGGAAACAUGUACAAAACUGUUUUUUAUUAUUCAUAAGGCUGAUUGGGGAGAACUGGGUUUAAACUGUCAAAGUAUCCUGCUGUGCUUGGAUACCUGACAGAUUUACACCUCAAAGUACACUGUGGUGCUAAGCUAAAACUGGGUGUGGAGUGUUCUUGCAAGAGCUGAUUACAGUCUCAAUCAAAUAGAAUGCCCGAGGAUAUAACAAAAUAAUGCCAAUGUUUGAUAGAAUUUAACAUUUUUGUAUAUGAUCAGCAAGUUAUUCUGUAUAGAGAUGAAGGCCUGCAUGAAAACUGAGCUCUUAUAUUUAACUUUGAAUAGAAACAGACUAAUGACUUUGAGUAUGUAAAUAAAAAACAUGACCCUAAACUUUUGCCAAAGAUGCAGUAUUAAACAAGUGAAUUAGAGCAAACCCAAUACCUGGUUAUACUGAGCCUUCCUUAAAUGAGCAAAGGGUGCUAUAAGUCUUGUCAAUAAAGAGCCUUCUUUAAAAAACUUGAAUAUUCAAAUAUGCAAUCCUGAGACCCACUCUCCCAAUUUGCUUUGAAAUUCUUUUCCCCUUUAUAACCAAACUGCAUUUUUCUCUGCUGGAACCCCUUGUAAUGAUAUCAGAAUAUUGGCAAACCUCAUUAGUUUCCCUGCUGUCUACAAGACAGGAUUUAUGCUUGUAGUGAACACAAUGACACACGAUCACUAAAUAGCUAAAAACACUAUCGAGACAAAUCUGAGAAUUUUUUUCACCCAGACAUUGCAAGUACUAUUGGUAGGUAAAGGUAUGGAGCCCAGUAUUAAUUACAGCAAACGUCCCCCAGUGCCACACUGCUGCAAGGAGCUCACCAGUGCCAGCUGUUUGUGGAGGCUCAUGGCAUGCAGCCUUUGGCAGGUACCUGCUGUAAGGUAUAAGGUAUGUUGCCAAUCCAAUGCAGUGAGUAAUUACUAAAUUCCCAUGGGACCUGGCUGAAGUCAAAUGUUGCUAUUCCUGGUUCAUUGCUUUUAGUCUCCCUAAAGACCAUUUAGGCAAACAGCUGGAAGAGCUGACUACAAGGCUUCCCAGCCACAGGGAACCACUCCAGGAAAGCAGGUAAAGGCUUCUAACCAGGAAACAAGUUAUCAAAGGAUUUGUCCUGUUGCUCCCUCAAGGAAAGAAAUUAACUGAGACAGAGAGCAAGAGCAUGAACACAUUGGUGUUGCAUGCAGAAUCCAGACACUAAAAGCAAUUGUCUUGGCUGAUGGGAGGAAGAGCUGUGCUGUCAGCGGGCAUGUUCUGCACUGGGCUCCUGCUUGGCAUCUAAACAGGAGGGCUUUCCUUCUCCCUCCAUGCUGGAGUGCCUUACUGAAACAAACCUUUGAGACGUGAAUAGAAGCAAUAGCAGAACUGCAGUUCCAGUACUGUCACUGCUUUGUACUGAUGGAAUAUUCCUCCUCCUAAAGAGAAGUACAGAGGGGAACAACAUCACCAGCUUCAGCUCCAUCUGAACUCAUUAUGCAGAUCUUGCAGCAAGGAGGGCGCUGCCUCCCUGACAACACUCAGAGGAACAGCAACAGAGACAACUCCUGAUGAAGUGACACAGAAAGAGAGCAAAGAGCAGAAAGAAAGGAGUCUUUUCAUCUAUACCGUGUGUGUGUGAGCACACCAAGAGGUGUGUAGUUAGGAACAUACAGA
Passer domesticus (house sparrow) is the source of this 6510-nucleotide long non-coding RNA. RefSeq lists it as uncharacterized. NCBI's taxonomy places the organism in Eukaryota, Metazoa, Chordata, Aves, Passeriformes, Passeridae. The record is from RefSeq and is a predicted model, not a curated record. The transcript is spliced from 4 exons.